RNAcentral lists this ribosomal RNA (466 nucleotides) under uncultured bacterium. RNAcentral describes it as "partial 16S ribosomal RNA". It matches the Rfam family "Bacterial small subunit ribosomal RNA", at positions 28 to 507 of the family's 1533-position model. The record is from RNAcentral.
GAUGAACGCUGGCGGCGUGCUUAACACAUGCAAGUCGAACGAUGAAGCUCAGCUUGCUGGGUGGAUUAGUGGCGAACGGGUGAGUAACACGUGAGUAACCUGCCCUUAACUCUGGGAUAAGCCUGGGAAACUAGGUCUAAUACCGGAUAGGAGCGCCUACCGCAUGGUGGGUGUUGGAAAGAUUUAUCGGUUUUGGAUGGACUCGCGGCCUAUCAGCUUGUUGGUGAGGUAAUGGCUCACCAAGGCGACGCCGGGUAGCCGGCCUGAGAGGGUGACCGGCCACACUGGGACUGAGACACGGCCCAGACUCCUACGGGAGGCAGCAGUGGGGAAUAUUGCACAAUGGGCGAAAGCCUGAUGCAGCGACGCCGCGUGAGGGAUGACGGCCUUCGGGUUGUAAACCUCUUUCAGUAGGGAAGAAGCGAAAGUGACGGUACCUGCAGAAGAAGCACCGGCUAACUACGUG